GAUUAACUCUGCCCCAGUCAAAACCAGGACAGAAGAGACCCCAUUCACAGACCAGAAAGGGCACCUGGAAAUCAUGAGAGAACAAAGAAGAUUUUGAUUUCACUGCAGCUGAAGUCAGAGAAGCAAUAUGCAGAGCUACAAGGAAGAAGAAACAACACAGGCAGCUCUGCUGGCCGAUGAUAUACCAAAAGACCAAAAGACUUGGACUCGUUUGAAGAUUGUCAAGGGAUAUGAACCCAUACACUUAAAAGGACCUGCCUUUUGAACAGAAAACAAAAACAAGCCAUCCCUGUGAAAGGAAGGAAUAAAAGCAGCUUGAUGUGUUCUGACAGCAAAAUUAGACAGCAGACACAUAUAAAAGCCAAUGAGCAAACUGUGCAAGUCAAGAAA
Long non-coding RNA from Pipra filicauda (Wire-tailed manakin), 390 nucleotides. RefSeq lists it as uncharacterized. The transcript is spliced from 2 exons. The record is from RefSeq and is a predicted model, not a curated record. NCBI's taxonomy places the organism in Eukaryota, Metazoa, Chordata, Aves, Passeriformes, Pipridae.